RNAcentral lists this transfer RNA (85 nucleotides) under Felis catus (domestic cat). It matches the Rfam family "tRNA". From Rfam's summary of the family: Transfer RNA (tRNA) molecules are approximately 80 nucleotides in length. Their secondary structure includes four short double-helical elements and three loops (D, anti-codon, and T loops). RNAcentral also lists the same sequence under 4 other names. The record is from Rfam by way of RNAcentral. Lineage: Eukaryota; Metazoa; Chordata; Mammalia; Carnivora; Felidae.
GCCUGAGUGGCUCAGUUUGUUAAGCGUCUGACUUUGGCUCAGGUCAUGAUCUCACGGUUCGUGGGUUCGAGCCCUGCGUCGGGCU